CCCCUAGAUGUUCUGGGCCGCACGCGCGCUACACUGAACAGUUCAACAAGUCUUAACCUUGGCCGAUAGGUCUGGGUAAUCUUUGAACGCUGUUCGUGAUUGGGAUAGACCUUUGCAAUUAUGGGUCUUCAACGAGGAAUUCCUAGUAAACGCAAGUCAUCAGCUUGCAUUGAUUACGUCCCUGCCCUUUGUACACACCGCUCGUCGCACCUACCGAUUGAAUGGUCCGGUGAAAUCUCGGGACGGCGGCUUGGUCGCUUGCGUCCGACUGCUGAAACUUGAUUAAACCAUAUCAUUUAGAGGAAGGUGAANUCGUANCU
This 320-nucleotide ribosomal RNA is filed under the name uncultured eukaryote. RNAcentral's name for it is "partial 18S ribosomal RNA". It matches the Rfam family "Eukaryotic small subunit ribosomal RNA", at positions 1470 to 1796 of the family's 1831-position model. The record is from RNAcentral.